AUUGAACGCUGGCGGCAUGCUUUACACAUGCAAGUCGAACGGUAACAGGGAGCUUGCUCCGCUGACGAGUGGCGAACGGGUGAGUAAUGCAUCGGAACAUGCCCAGUCAUGGGGGAUAACUACGCGAAAGCGUAGCUAAUACCGCAUACGCCCUGAGGGGGAAAGUGGGGGGUCUUAGGACCUCACGUGAUUGGAGUGGCCGAUGUCAGAUUAGCUAGUUGGUGAGGUAAAGGCUCACCAAGGCGACGAUCUGUAGCGGGUCUGAGAGGAUGAUCCGCCACACUGGGACUGAGACACGGCCCAGACUCCUACGGGAGGCAGCAGUGGGGAAUUUUGGACAAUGGGCGCAAGCCUGAUCCAGCCAUGCCGCGUGAGUGAAGAGGGCCUUCGGUUGUAAGACGUCUUUCGUCAAGGAAGGAAAACGGACGAAGGUUAAAUACCGUUUA
This 446-nucleotide ribosomal RNA is filed under the name uncultured bacterium. RNAcentral describes it as "bacterial SSU rRNA". It matches the Rfam family "Bacterial small subunit ribosomal RNA", at positions 30 to 471 of the family's 1533-position model. The record is from RNAcentral.